GGGCCUGUAGUCCAAUGGUAGAACACGUCGUUUGCAACGAUGAAAUCCGGGUUCGAUUCCCGGCAGGUCCA
RNAcentral lists this transfer RNA (71 nucleotides) under Candidatus Pacearchaeota archaeon. Its description in RNAcentral is "tRNA-Ala". It matches the Rfam family "tRNA". From Rfam's summary of the family: Transfer RNA (tRNA) molecules are approximately 80 nucleotides in length. Their secondary structure includes four short double-helical elements and three loops (D, anti-codon, and T loops). Further hydrogen bonds mediate the characteristic L-shaped molecular structure. tRNAs have two regions of fundamental functional importance: the anti-codon, which is responsible for specific mRNA codon recognition, and the 3' end, to which the tRNAs corresponding amino acid is attached (by aminoacyl-tRNA synthetases). tRNAs cope with the degeneracy of the genetic code in two manners: having more than one tRNA (with a specific anti-codon) for a particular amino acid; and 'wobble' base-pairing, i.e. permitting non-standard base-pairing at the 3rd anti-codon position. The record is from RNAcentral. Lineage: Archaea; Nanobdellati.